Pangasianodon gigas (Mekong giant catfish) is the source of this 72-nucleotide non-coding RNA. NCBI's taxonomy places the organism in Eukaryota, Metazoa, Chordata, Actinopteri, Siluriformes, Pangasiidae. The record is from the annotation of a GenBank genome assembly.
UCCCUGGAGGACUAGUGUUUGGGCCACGGCGUUCUCACCGCCGCGGCCUGGGUUCAAUUCCCGGGCAGGGAG